This 4443-nucleotide long non-coding RNA is filed under the name Brassica rapa (field mustard). Its description in RNAcentral is "long non-coding RNA (BRAP_LNC000153)". Lineage: Eukaryota; Viridiplantae; Streptophyta; Magnoliopsida; Brassicales; Brassicaceae. The record is from RNAcentral.
UGUUCCAACAACUCUUCCUGUGGUAGCUUCAGUUUGGUCCACACUGAAAUUUCUAGCCACACCAAAAUCUGCAAUCUUCGGAUUCAAAUCUUCAUCUAAGAGAAUGUUACCCGCUUUGAGGUCACGGUGUAUAAUGGUGAGUCGCGAAUCUUGAUGAAGAUACAAAAUCCCACGAGUAAUUCCCUCGAUAAUGUUGUAUCGUUUUGUCCAAUCCAGUUGACUACUCUUCUUAGGGUCUGGGAAUAUAGCAACUGAUUAGACUAUGAGAUCAUCAAGAACUAAGAUUUCGAGAAAAUAGGCCUAUGUAUGAUAUGUUUCUUACCAAAAAGGAAAUGAUCGAGACUUUUGUUAGGCAAAAACUCGUAGACUAAUAUCUUUUCUUCUCCUUUGACAGAAAACCCAAGAAGCCUAACAAGAUUCUUAUGUUGAAGCUUUGCUACAAGAAACACCUCGUUCUUGAACUCUUCUUCACCUUGUCCUGACAUUUUAGACAGCCUCUUCACAGCAACAUGUGUUCCAUUCGGUAACGUUCCCUGUCAAACGUAUGACCUUCACAUAAUUAUCGGAAUAUUUUUUGUUCGUUUUCACCGACUCUGUAACAUAAAUAAGUACGUAGAACAAAUAUUAUACCUUGUAAACUUCACCAAAUCCACCAUGACCAAGCUUGUUAGUAUUAUGAAAAUUACUUGUGGCAGCUUCAAUUGCUUUAAACUCGAAUUGAAGUGAACCUGAAGUUGUAAUAUCAUCCCCAGCUGCAGAACAAAUGUAUACAUGGCAUUAUACUUAAUAAAUUUCUCUCUCAAAUCCGUAGUCCUCUACCAUUAUAUGUCUUUCAAAAUAAUUUCUAGCAUUUUGAACUUAUGUUUUGAAAUCAUCUUCGUACCAAAACAUAAGGAAACUCACUAUCGGUUGUAAAUGCUUUGAAUGCUUCUCUUCUCUCCCAAAGAGCAUAUCCUAGGGCAAGCAAUACAACGGGAACAACGACAAUCGCCACAAUAGUUCCCGUAGAAAUCUUUUUACCAUCUGCAUCAACCAAAACCACCAAUAAAGGAACAAUUUUGGCACCAAAACAAGAACAGAGAACAGAGCAAAAACCCUCAAAUAAGGCUAGAUAUGGAUAGUUGACCCAAAAAAAAGGUUUGAUAUGUAUAUAAUCAUUUGAUCUAACAGCAACAAUGAGUACAAAACAUGAUGUUACCUUUCUCAAGAGCAAUAUUAUCGAAAAGGUCCAAGAACGGAUAAACCUCCCACCGAAUGAAACAGCUAGACCUAGAAAUAAUGCCUCCUUGUCUCCCACGGCAACAAGACCUAUACUCAAUCACGUUCUCUUGAAGACAAUGAGUGCAGUUUUCAAGAGAUACGUCUUUACUGCACUGCACAACACUGUAAACGUGGGAGAUAGACGACUCAAGCUUUCUUAUUCCGGCUGCGUAGGACAAAGAGGAAGCUUGAUCUAUCAAACCAAUCAUCAAAGCCUCCCAUGUAAUCUCUAGAUCUGUCAUGUUAGCCUGAACAUCUCUUGUAUAGUUCUCACUCCGUAGAAUCUCCAUACCAAGCGACCCGUAAAAUGAGCGGUUCGAGUAGCGUACAAGACAGAGUGUCCUGUCCAUCCUCCAGUCUAUACCUUCCGUCUGGUUAGUACAAUUCCGUAACAAUCUAGCAGAUGAAGAGAUGAUACAGUCAGAGCAAGAUCGAGCGUGAGUACCUGGGACACACAUCCCUAGACCGUACGCUCUGUUGGGAUCUUGUCCGGUCGAUGUUGUGUAGACGCCGUCAUUAGCUGUGACGUUAGAAGGAAGAGAAGAGAGCAUGAGUCGGCGGUUUAAGUCAUAAGUAUCAUUGGGUGUGAAAAAACCAGAUCUUUCAAAGCAUAUAUCUGCAGAAACAAGAACAGAGGUUAAGAGGACAAUCCAGAAGACGACUAACAAGUCGUCCAUCCUGGUCUUGUCUUGUCUCUUGUGUUUGAUUUUCCGAAUCAAAAACUUAAAUUCUUGAAAUUAAUUAUUUUAAAAUAUACUAGCUGUUGAUUUUCAUUUUCUUUGGCUGUACGUAAUUGACUAAUUGUCAUUGAUUAUUCUAUAUUUUAGACUCUGGAAGAUGAUCAGUCUAUGUCUAUGUCUGUCAAUUUCAGUGUGAUAUGACGUAAUUAAGACUUUCGGUUAACUUGGUUUUAUAAUUACCUAUUUAGUAUGAGUUUUUUCAAUAUACUUAAAAUCGAUUUAGUGUUUAAACAGCAAAUUGGUUAUAAUGAAAUUACUUUUUUAAAAUUUUGAUUUAUACUACUCAAAUCAGUUUGACACGUUUUAAAUUGCUAUAAAUCAAUUUAAAUCAAUCUAAAUUAGUUAAGUUAAAUAAUAAUGUUUGACAAAAAAAAGUUUAAUAAUAAUGUUAAUAUAACUUUAAAAUUUUAUAAUUUCUUUUGAUAUCUAUAUAAUUUUUACAAUUCACCAAUAUAAUAUUUAUUUUUAAAUUAAGAAAUUAAAAUAUAUAAUAUAAAUAUAAAAUAUAUGAAAGAUAAAUUAAUAAUUUGAUUAUGCUUAGCUCCAAAUAAUCCAUUUAGGUGAUGUUUGUUUGUGCAUCUGGAAAAUGCAACAGACAUAUCAAUAGAUAGACCUGCUCUCCCUACUCGUUCAUCCCUGCUUCGGAAGAAAAAUCCAGUUGGUCUAAGCUAAAGCUGUUUCCAUUUUCAAUAUUCUUUAUGUGCCCGGCAAGAAAGUUAAUAUAGUUUGGUUUCUGUAACGGCUCUAUGCAUGCUAUUUUUAUAGACUCGAAAUACUUAUUUUCUAGCUAUGCAAUUAUCAUGUGAUUUUUUAUAUGCUUUCGCCUCAUUUGCUUGGUAUCUUGACAGACAAGUGACUGAAAUAAAAAAUAUAUUUUACUAAAAUAUAUAACCAACCAAUUGAGAUGUUCAGCUCUGUUUUUCAAGCAUAUUAUUUCAACAACAGAAAGACGAUGGGCUUUAUCUCCAAUUUUCUCCGGAGGGAAAAGAAAGUAUAUUUCCAAGCAUAUGUUUUCAACAACAGAAACCGUCUGAAGAUUUUUCCAAGUGAUCUUUAUUGUUGUGCCAUAUAUCUCAACCAGAGUCCACUUUUCCACAAGUGAAUUUGAUGUUGCUGUUUUUUUUCUUCAUAUUGAUCUGUAUAGUUUAAAAGUACUAAUACAGGUACUUAACUUCUGUCUUGCACAAAUGUUCUCAAACCAAGACUAAUCAAGAGUUAAACAGAAAACCCCCAUUUGAAAGUAAGUAUAUUAUAUUAUGGUAACGGUAACAACGACUCCCUACUAAGAAUAGGUUGUCACUUAAGCUUAUGAAGAACACGAAACAGAGGACUGUUACAGAGCUUUCCUUUGUCAGCUUUUUUAACCUUUUUAUGAUUCAGAUAAUGUGUGUUUAGUUAGUAUAUCUGGUUCAAUUCAAUUAAAUCAGAAUUUGAAUCUUCUACGAUAACUAAUAUGAAUUAUCAUGGGAGACUAGAGAUCUUUCCUUCUGAACUAGCUGAUAUUAGGCUUUUGAAUCAAUAUUUCUUCAUCAAUCAUAAGUUUGUAAAAGACUAUACAUAUCAAACAUCAGCCUAGCUUUCAACGGGGACUAACACACGUAAUCGAUAUACUAGUAGACGGACCAGACUGCAAUCUCUCAUCUAAUGGGUUUGACUUGGAUCUGACCCUGAAGACAAAUCCAGGUGGUUGAGGAAUAUGCAACGUAAUGGAUGUAUUAGUGAGCAUACGAAAGACUGUAGACAUGGUUGGACGAUCUGUAGGAUUUUCUUGAACGCAUAACAAUCCAAUGUGGAUGCACCUAAACACUUCAUUUCUGUCAUAAUUCUCCUCCAUGGCCGGGUCUAUCAUUUCCAGCAAUGAGUCAUUGUUCCAAAGCCUCCAUACCUAUUCAAGUCAUUUAUCAAGAAAAUAGUGUUGACAUCCAUGAUCAUUGCUAAAACAAGUAGAGAGCUUGAGCUUGGCAUUGGAAUUUGUACUAACAUAUGUGACCAAGUUGCUUAUUGAGCCAUCUGUCUCGUUGAAGCUACUAUUCUUUUUUCCACAAAUAAUCUCCAUAAUCAAUACUCCGAAGCUAUACACAUCUGAUUUUGUGGAGAACUGUCCACUUGUCACAUACUCGGGUGGCAUGUAACCGCUAUAAAAUACAACUUUUUUAUCAACAACAACACUGAUAGGCAAAAUAUAAUUACUAUGAACAAUUACUUACAAUGUUCCAACUACUCUUCCUGUGGUAGCUUCAGUUUGGUCCACACUGAAAUUUCUAGCCACACCAAAAUCUGCAAUCUUCGGGUUCAAAUCUUUAUCUAAGAGAAUGUUACCCGCUUUGAGGUCACGGUGUAUAAUUGUGAGCCGCGAAUCUUGAUGAAGAUACAAAAUCCCACGAGUAAUACCCUCGAUAAUGUUGUACCGUCUUGUCCAAUCCAGUUGACUACUCUUCUUCGG